Long non-coding RNA from Sinocyclocheilus grahami, 91 nucleotides. RefSeq lists it as uncharacterized. The transcript is spliced from 3 exons. The record is from RefSeq and is a predicted model, not a curated record. NCBI's taxonomy places the organism in Eukaryota, Metazoa, Chordata, Actinopteri, Cypriniformes, Cyprinidae.
GCAUGUUAGUGCUAGCCCUCCCAGAAUUCAUAGAGAUUGCAUUGCAGUGCCUGCAGUUCGAAAAAAAAAAUUUCUUCUUGUGCGAUUUUAU